RNAcentral lists this ribosomal RNA (427 nucleotides) under uncultured bacterium. RNAcentral describes it as "partial 16S ribosomal RNA". It matches the Rfam family "Bacterial small subunit ribosomal RNA", at positions 355 to 774 of the family's 1533-position model. The record is from RNAcentral.
UGGGGAAUAUUGCACAAUGGGCGCAAGCCUGAUGCAGCCAUGCCGCGUGUAUGAAGAAGGCCUUCGGGUUGUAAAGUACUUUCAGCGAGGAGGAAGGCGUUGUGGUUAAUAACCGCAGCGAUUGACGUUACUCGCAGAAGAAGCACCGGCUAACUCCGUGCCAGCAGCCGCGGUAAUACGGAGGGUGCAAGCGUUAAUAGGAAUUACUGGGUGUAAAGCGCACGCAGGCGGUCUGUCAAGUCGGAUGUGAAAUCCCCGGGCUCAACCUGGGAACUGCAUCCGAAACUGGCAGGCUAGAGUCUUGUAGAGGGGGGUAGAAUUCCAGGUGUAGCGGUGAAAUGCGUAGAGAUCUGGAGGAAUACCGGUGGCGAAGGCGGCCCCCUGGACAAAGACUGACGCUCAGGUGCGAAAGCGUGGGGAGCAAACA